Molecule: long non-coding RNA, 1924 nt
Filed under: Homo sapiens (human)
Lineage: Eukaryota; Metazoa; Chordata; Mammalia; Primates; Hominidae
Description: HSALNT0298682
Source: RNAcentral
GGAAAGGCCUGGCGGAGGCAGAUAAGGCGGCAGAGCACGGGGCGAGGCGUUGCUAGGAGAAGUUGCUAGGGCGGGGCUCGAGGGACCGGCUAUAAAAGGCUGGCGCUGGGUUAGGUUUCGAGCUUCCUGGCCGUAAGCGAUAAGGCUUUAACUGAGAACCACCUUGUGCUGUAGGCUUUGGCCCUUUUCCUCACAUCUGUGUAGUUAUUUUUGGGUCGCGGAGAAUUGUGGCCCGAGAAGGCUCUGCUCCUUGAGAGUGUGGGGAGAGAAGCUGCAGUCCCGGAAGCGGUUUUAGGGGGCCGCUUCCUUGGCCUAGAGGAGCUCCCCAACCCGAGGGGGCAAGGGAAACGACCCCCAGGAGGCCCCUAAACAGUGGCCGGCGUGGUUUCUCCUCCAGCUUUACAGAGCCUUCUCUUCCCCUCCAGAAACAGCCAACCUCCGGGUUUCUGCCUGCCACGCACGGUUUAUUCUUAUUUCCGCCUGUUUGUGCACUGCGUUAUCUCCACUUCAGCUCUGUUUUCAAAAUAUUUCACAGCAAGUGGGCUCUUGUGAAAGGCAGUGACAGGAGUGACGUUUAUAGUCAUGCUGCUUCAAAAAACCCUACCAUAACUUUUAUUCUGCACCAUGGAAACACACUCGGACAGAUUUGCAUAACGUAACCUUAAGGCUCAGGGAAUCCGAAAGAGUCCCUUAAUAUUUAACAGAAUGAGAUUAUGGUAUUUCUAAAACCCUGAACAAUUCAAAAGCCACCAGUGUGAAGAUAGGAAGGUUAUUUGGAGAUAUCUGUGCCUGCUAAACACAAAUGCAUCGGCCCACAGAAUUGCCUUCUCUGCUGUUAAAAUGCUUGGCAAAUGGAACUCCUAGCUGAGGGGGUAACAACAAAAAAUUCAGAAAUCGUUUAGCGGUGGCAGUAUGUGCGAAAAUGGAAUUUCAAGGCCUGGGAAGUUAAUAGAUUCAGUGGUCUUUAUUUCACACACGAGGGAAAGUUGGGGAGAGAAAGGGCCUCCAUGGGGAUGCCAGUAGAUAAAUAAAAAUUACAAAAAAAAAAAUAAUAAAGAUAGAUUGUACUGGCCGGGCGCGGUGGCUCAUGCCUGUAAUCCAGCACUUUGGGAGACUGAGGCGGGCGGAUCUCGAGGUCAGGAGUUCGAAACCAGCCUCACCAACAUGGUGAAACCCCAUCUCUACUAAAAAUACAAUAAUUAGCCGGGCGUGGUGGUGCGCGUCUGUAAUCCCAGCUAUUCAGGAGGCUGAGGCAGGAGAAUCGCUUGAACCCGGGAGGCAGAGGUUGCAGUGAGCUGAGAUCGUGCCAUCGCACUCCAGCCUGGGCGACAGAGAGAGUCUCCGUUUCAGAAAAAAAAGAUAUAUUGUACCUAGGAAGCAGUAUUUCGGAAAGGUGGUGCCAUGGCAACCCUGGGGCGUGAAGGUGUCGCCAGGUUACAUGUAAGCCGUCCAAACUCCAGAAACCUCAAGUCCCUCUGCAGUCUGCUCCCCAGCUCUCUGUCCUCCAGGUUCCUGAAAAAGUAAUCUACAGAUCUGAGCCUUAAGCCUCUUCUUUUUUUAUUUGUGAUUUCUUCCUUCUGGUGAUCAAAAAUGACUAUUUCAAAUAAAUAAAUAAUUUUUUUAAAUGACCAUUUCAAAGGUCUGAGAUCCUACAAGUAACUGUAUAAAGAUGGAGUCUUGCUCUGUCAUCCAGGCUGGAGUGGAAUGGCUUGAUCUCAGCUCACUGCAACCUCUGUCUCGUGCGUUCAUGUGAUUCUCCUGCCUCAGCCUCCCAAGUAGCUGGGAUUACAGCCUUUGAAUACAGACAACCUACAUCAUUCUGAAUAAGAAGUGCAGGAAAAGAGGGAUGAGAGGGAGGGAACUUGACAGAGAGACACCAGGAUAAAAAAGGUGAGGACAUUCAACUUUCGCCAACACAUCUGAG